RNAcentral lists this ribosomal RNA (253 nucleotides) under uncultured bacterium. Its description in RNAcentral is "partial 16S ribosomal RNA". It matches the Rfam family "Bacterial small subunit ribosomal RNA", at positions 524 to 776 of the family's 1533-position model. The record is from RNAcentral.
GACGGAGGAUGCAAGUGUUAUCCGGAAUCACUGGGCGUAAAGCGUCUGUAGGUGGUUUAACAAGUCUGCUGUUAAAGCUUGAAGCUCAACUUCAAAAAUGCCGUAGAAACUUUUAAACUUGAGGAUGGUAGGGGUAGAGGGAAUUUCCAGUGGAGCGGUGAAAUGCGUAGAUCUUGGAAAGACCACCAAUGGCGAAGGCACUCUACUGGGCCAUACCUGACACUAAGAGACGAAAGCUAGGGGAGCAAAUGGG